AUAAGAGGCAAAACGUGCCACAUCGGACAGAAAACAACAUCUGAGAGACACAGAAUGGCUGAGAGAGAUGCAAAACGACCAAAACGUGAAACAAAAUGACUAAAAUGUGUCAGAACUGGUGUUGACAGUAAUGUUAGUGAUUAGAGACAAAUCCAGCGCAACAGACGUAUGUGUGCCUUGAUGAUGUGUGUGUCUGCAUCUCAUUUCAGAUUCCAUGCUGUUUAACCUGACCGGCCACAACGCCUCGCUGCUGCGCUGUGAGGUGAAUGUGACGCAGGACGCCGGCUUUGCUCUGACAGUCCUUCAUGGCAGCUGCAGACUCCGCAGUGUGAACUCAGCUUCAGGAGGAAACGUCUCCCCUCAACCCUAUGUCACACUUUCUGAAACCAUCGCUGUGCAGGCUGGAGGAAAAUAUGAGUGUCAGCUGCAUCUGAAGGAGGAUCUGAUAAUUAAGAGUGUCUUCCACAACAACUUGCUGGAAGGGGCUCAGACUAAUGCGACGGCAUGUUCGCCGGACAUUCCUGUGGUGGUUGGGCCAGAGUACCCCGAGCCGUGGCUGCUGUACAUGGCCCUCCUGCUGGUGCCCAUCACCGUCCUGCUCGGACUCGCAACCGCCAUGCUGAUCAGGAGAGGAGUCUGAGACGGAGGUUCGGUCUGUCAGCAGAGAAAUCACAACCAGGAUGAAACGAACGAGAGGAGAAGCAGCUCUGCAUCCCCAAACAGCGUGAAGACUGUCAGCGAUGAGGCUUCAUUUUCACUCAGGACACAGCCAGCGCUUCACAAAGAGACACAGACGAUCACACAGCGGCAAAAUGAUCAGAACGUGACACAACAUAUGACAAAAGUGAUACAAAAAGAUACAAAAACAACCAAGAUUAGACACAAAGCAACCACAGACCCAAGAGGGACGAAGACUGGCUCCAAAGAAAUCCAAAACGACUAAAAUGAAAUUCAAACAUCCACAAAGAAAGACUAAAUGGCUGUAAAGACAUACAAAAUGGUCACAAAUGAUGUAAAUGUAACACAAAAUGACCCAGUCACAAAUGUGACCAAAAAUGAUCACAAAAAGAUAAAAUUUAACCAAAAAUUGGUCAAAUGUGAAACAAAACAACCACAAAAAAGAUGCAAAAAAACACACCGAAAUUGUUCAAAUGUGAAGCAAGACGACAAAAAAAGAUGGAAAACAACCGAAAUCUGGUCAAAUGUGGAGCAAAAUGACCACAAAAAUGAGGCACAAUGACCAAAAUGUGACGUAAAACAACCACAAAAAGCUGUAAAACAACCAAAAUCUGGUGAAAUCUGACCCAAAAUUAUCACAAAAACGUAAAAAUUAAACAAAACAUUGGUCAAAUGUGAAGCAAAAUGACAAAAAAGAUGUAAAACAAUCUGAAUUGGAUUAAAUGUGAAGCAAAACACUCAAAAAAAGACAUAAAACAACCAAAAUCUGGUCAAAUGUGAAACAAUAUGACCACAAAAAUGAGGCAAAAUGACCAACAUGUGACACAAAACAACCACAAAAAGCCGUAAAUUUGAUGAAUUUCUCUUUUUCUUUGUAUCAGAACCUAAUUUGGAAAAACCAAACUGAUAAACCUCCUCCACAGACAUGUCCAGUACCAGACUUCAUUCAUAAUGCUGCCAGUUUGCACUCGCUGCUGCUGUGUCUGUAAAUAUGUAAGAGUCAGUAAAUGAAAUGUCAGCGCUCCUCUGAUGAAAGACGUUAGUGACUGAAGUUAAUCCGCUUAUUUAAAAAAUGAAGAGUGAUGCUGGAGGUACAUGAAGGUCACAGAGGGCUGAUAUUCAUUCACAUAAUGUAUCAAGUGUUAACCCUGAAUCACUUCACCUCAAAUCGUCACAUGAUUACAACAGUUUCUGCUCAGCCGUCUCUGAUUGGACAGGUUUUUUUAUGUCAUUAAAUAUGGAUGUUAAUAAGGAAAAUCUGUGAGACUUUCUGCAAUAUUGAUUUAUUUUACAGACACUGGAAAUCAGGGUCUUCUUGAACGACAAUACCUCAGAAAGUAUUUAAGAUAAAACCCUAAAAUUUUCUUUUUUUCUCAUCACGGCGCUGAUUGAGAAUCUGCAAUAAUGGACGAGGUUAUCAAAAAUUAAGUGCGUGUGGGUGAGUUAAAGUAAGAAAAACAAAAACAUCAGUCGAUAGUCUGAUCCAAGUAGUACAGAGUUCAGGAGUUUCAAAAUGGUUCUUCAAAUGUAAGUAAUAAAACAUAAUUUUUAAUAUGGGCACAUUUUUUAUUUUCCCACUUUUCAUGACGUCUUUUUUUCAUAUUUCUUCUCACCAAUAAUCAGAGAUUAUUUGAUCUACUUAUGUUACAAAUUCUAAAUCAGUGACAUUAUGAGAAAUAAGUGAUAAUUUCAUGUUUUUAUCAUUAAUAGUUCCUGAGUUAUUGUUUUUCAAACAACUUUAACCUUCCUGUUGUCCUCAUUUACGGGCACCAAAAAAUAUUGUUUCCUUGUCUGAAAAAAAUCCCAAAAUUCAGCAAAAAAAUUCCCCAAAUUUCUGAAAAUUUGCAAAACAUUCAGGAAGAAAAUUCCAAUAAUUCCUUAAAAGUUUCCCUUAAAAUUCUUGUAAAUAUUUUCAAAAAAUGAAUAAAAACCUUCCAAAAAAAUCCUAAAAAUAUCUAAAGUGAUUCCACAUAUAUCAGUAAAACUUCUAAUAUUUUGGCUUCAAAAAAAUCAACGAUUUGGUUGAUUUUUAUGUGAAUGUUCUUAAGAAACAUUUUUAACAUUUCUUUUUUUCCACCAAAAAAUGUUCAAAGAUUUCCCAAAAAUGUUGAAAAUGUGGACAUGAGAAGCUUCACUGUGAAAAUUUAUUAUUUUUCGGGUCAAUUUUGACC
This is a long non-coding RNA of Amphiprion ocellaris (clown anemonefish), 2849 nucleotides long. Lineage: Eukaryota; Metazoa; Chordata; Actinopteri; Pomacentridae. The record is from Ensembl.